RNAcentral lists this long non-coding RNA (447 nucleotides) under Helianthus annuus (common sunflower). The record is from RNAcentral. Lineage: Eukaryota; Viridiplantae; Streptophyta; Magnoliopsida; Asterales; Asteraceae.
AUGUCGCCGCUAUUGGCCUUAUCCGCACCCGGUGUCCCACGUUAAACCUUAGCACACGUUUUUUUUAUCAUCAUCUAACGGCUGGGGUUUGUCGAGGUUAAUAGCGGCGAAACAAAGUAUCAAUAGCGGCGACAGGUUGUCGCCCCUAUUGGUCCGCCGAAUAAACAACCAAAACAGCGCCAUUUCUUCCCUCCUUCCACUUUCCCCAAAACCUUUCAUCUCUCCUCUCACGGGUUCUUCUCCAAAACGGCAUAAUCUCUUCAUUUUUACCAAUUUCUAUUUCAAAUCGGUUAGUAUUGUUAGUUUUAUGUUGAAUUUCUUAGAAUUUCUCCACUGGCACCACCUCGUCUCCACGGCCACCACCUCAUCUCCUCCGUCACCACCUCUUCUCCUCCUUCAAAAUAAGGGAUAAAUGAGCUUAAAUGAACAAAAGAAGCAAAAAUGCAG